This 100-nucleotide small nuclear RNA is filed under the name Mustela putorius furo (domestic ferret). Lineage: Eukaryota; Metazoa; Chordata; Mammalia; Carnivora; Mustelidae. The record is from RNAcentral.
UUGCUUUGGCAACACAGAUACUAAAAUUGGAAUGAUACAGAGGUUAGCGUGGCCCCUGCACAAGGAUGAUAUGCAAAUUUGUGAAGCAUUCCAUAUUUUU